GCGGAUGUGAUGUAGUGGCUAGCAUCUGAGUGCGCCACACUCAGCGCAUGGGUUCAAAUCCCAUCAUUCGCU
RNAcentral lists this transfer RNA (72 nucleotides) under Leptolyngbya sp. Cla-17. It matches the Rfam family "tRNA". From Rfam's summary of the family: Transfer RNA (tRNA) molecules are approximately 80 nucleotides in length. Their secondary structure includes four short double-helical elements and three loops (D, anti-codon, and T loops). Lineage: Bacteria; Bacillati; Cyanobacteriota; Cyanophyceae; Leptolyngbyales; Leptolyngbyaceae. The record is from Rfam by way of RNAcentral.